Molecule: RNA transcript, 1236 nt
Organism: Glossina fuscipes
Lineage: Eukaryota; Metazoa; Arthropoda; Insecta; Diptera; Glossinidae
Gene name: protein tantalus
Exons: 5
Source: RefSeq, a predicted model, not a curated record
UCAUACUGGCAACACUAUAGAUAAUGGACAGAGUCGUCCUUGGCAUUGCAAAUAUAAAUUUUCAACAAGAAAAUUCUGAAAAAAUUGAUGAAAGAUCCGCUAUAACUCAAUGUCAAAGAACUUCAAUAGAAAUGGAAUCGUUGAAAGCGUUGUUGGAUGAAACCGGUCAGUGGCGUGUUAAUCAUAUUAACUCUGAUAAAGCAAUGGGAAAUGUGAAUAAUACUAAAGAAUUUCAAGAAGUAAAUCAUGAAAUUACUGGCGCAGCUAAUAUCAGUUGUAGAAACGAUCGAAGGGCGAAUGCAUUUAUUGAAAGGCGGAUUUUACCCCCACGUGCCUCAAAAGAUGAGUCCGCAUUUGAUUUGUUUGAGGUGGCGGUGUAUAUUUAAAAUUCGCCUUACACCAAAUGUAAUGUUUUUAAUUGUUUUUAUUAUAUUACACCGGCGUGGUAAAGUGGAAAAUUUAUUAUGUGUACAGAGUAUUGCCGCAACAAUGAAUGAUUCGUAAUGAAUUUGCUGUUACAACUUUAUGGGAUAAAGUUUUAAGUUUCGUGACUUUGCGUACAUUUCAUAAUCGCUGGGAUUCUUUUUAUCAUUGAUUUGAAAGGUUCACAUUUCAUCGCUGUUGGAUUGGACAGCAGGUAUAUGAGCUAUAUGAGCGUAAAAAAAUGUACACGUGAUAUGUUAAGGAAUCGAAAUGUUUACUGGAGCAAUAAAGUUAUGCUAAAUGAAUGAAUAAAAAUAAUAAAUAAUAAUGUGCGCGUAUAUAUUGAAUGCAUAUUUAUAUAUAUAUAUAUAUAUAGAUACAUUUAUUUAUCUACAUACAUACAUACAGACGCUCACUUGAGUUAUGCAAUCGAAUCCAUGAAGGCCACUUACACAUAUCUAAUGACUGAUAUACGUAAGCGUGUAUGUAAUAACGAAAUACUAUCAGCUUUGCACUCGAGUUGUGGUUUUACUUUUGGUGCUGUUUUUGUUUUUGCUGUCGCCGUUACUACUACUGCUGCUGUGCUGCUAUGGUUGUUACAAUGUUUGCCGUUGUGGCUUAAGCGAUUUUGUUGCUGUUUUUUAUAAAAGUUUACACACAACGCCGUACAAUCGCAUACGCUUAAGUUUAUAGAAAAAUCUGAAACCCAAUGCUUAACUAACGGCAGACAUUGAGUGGCAGUCACACGGUUAAGACGUACUUUGCGGACUCUGGAAUUUUAAACUCUACUCUAUCAAAACAAGUUUGGUUUUC